GUGCCAGCCGCCGCGGUAAUACGGAGGGUGCAAGCGUUGUCCGGAAUCAUUGGGUGUAAAGGGUGCGUAGGCGGGAGCCUAAGUCUGUGGUGAAAUCUUGCCGCUUAACGGUAAAAUUGCCAUGGAUACUGGGUUUCUUGAGUACAGAAGAGGUCGGUGGAAUUCGUAGUGUAGCGGUGAAAUGCAUAGAUAUUACGAAGAACACCAGUGGCGAAGGCGGCCGGCUGGACUGUAACUGACGCUAAGGCACGAAAGCGUGGGGAGCGAACAGGAUUAGAUACCCCUGUAGUCC
RNAcentral lists this ribosomal RNA (292 nucleotides) under uncultured bacterium. Its description in RNAcentral is "partial 16S ribosomal RNA". It matches the Rfam family "Bacterial small subunit ribosomal RNA", at positions 505 to 796 of the family's 1533-position model. The record is from RNAcentral.